GAAAUGCGAUAAGUAAUGUGAAUUGCAGAAUUCAGUGAAUCAUCGAAUCUUUGAACGCACAUUGCGCCCGCCAGCACUCUGGCGGGCAUGCCUGUUCGAGCGUCAUUUCAACCCUCAGAACCCCUUGCGGGAUCUGGCGUUGGGGAUUGGCAUACAGCCAGCCCCGAAAUCUAGUGGCGGUCCCUCCGCGACCUCCCCUGUGCAGUAGCGAUACCUCGCAGCGGGACAGCGGUCUGACCACGCCGUAAACCCCCAACUUCUCAAGGUUGACCUCGAAUCAGGUAGGAAUACCCGCUGAACUUAAGC
RNAcentral lists this unclassified non-coding RNA (306 nucleotides) under plant metagenome. RNAcentral describes it as "partial contains 5.8S ribosomal RNA, internal transcribed spacer 2, and large subunit ribosomal RNA". The stretch from base 1 to 105 matches the Rfam family "5.8S ribosomal RNA", at positions 50 to 154 of the family's 154-position model. The record is from RNAcentral.